GUUAGGAAUAUUGGACAAUGGGCGCAAGCCUGAUCCAGCCAUGCCGCGUGAGUGAUGAAGGCCUUCGGGUUGUAAAGCUCUUUAGCCGAUGAUUAUAAUGACUGUAGUCGGAAAAUAAGCCCCGGCUAACUUCGUGCCAGCAGCCGCGGUAAUACGAAGGGGGCGAGCGUUAUUCGGAAUCACUGGGCGUAAAGCGUGCGUAGGCGGCUUUGCAAGUUGGGAGUGAAAGCCCAGGGCUCAACCCUGGAAUGGCUCUAAAAGCUGCAAGGGUCGAAUUCGGGAGAGGAUAGCGGAAUUUUCAGUGUAGCAGUGAAAUGCGUAGAUAUUGACAGGAACACCAGUGGCGUAAGCGGCUAUCUGGACCGAUAUUGACGCUGAGGCACGAACGCGUGGGGAUCAAACAGGAUUAGAUACCCUUGUAGUCC
RNAcentral lists this ribosomal RNA (425 nucleotides) under uncultured bacterium. RNAcentral describes it as "partial 16S ribosomal RNA". It matches the Rfam family "Bacterial small subunit ribosomal RNA", at positions 354 to 796 of the family's 1533-position model. The record is from RNAcentral.